Fukomys damarensis (Damara mole-rat) is the source of this 2648-nucleotide long non-coding RNA. NCBI's taxonomy places the organism in Eukaryota, Metazoa, Chordata, Mammalia, Rodentia, Bathyergidae. The record is from Ensembl.
GUACAUCUGAAUCCAUACUUGGCCCUUGGUACUUGCUCUUAAGAAUGUAUUGUAUACUAUUUUAGUAAAUUGGGGAAAUAGCAAAGGGAAAAAGAAACUUUACUGGGGUGGAGUCCAGGCUGUGUCUCUUAAUUUGUGCUACUUGUGAUUUUUGCCCAAAUUACUUUUUCUGAAUAUGAACACAAUACGUCUAAAGCCUAAAAUAACCCAGGAAGCCACCUAGCAUCAAUAAAUUACAUUCUUCCUAGUAUUAGGGUUCUUUAGAGAGACAGAAGAGACAGAACAGAGAGAGAGAGAGAGAGAGAGAGAGAGAGAGAGAGAAAGAGAGAGAGAGUUUGUAGCUUUUCAGCCCAGAAGCCAGUGGUGUCUCAGCCCAGUUCCAAGUAGUGGAGCAGUAGCCUCUGUCUCACCCGAAAGCCUAGUGCACCACUGCUGUGAGUUCCAGAUUCCAAAGGGUGAACCGGAAUUUCUUACACUCGGUGGAAGGAGACGGCUGCCACCACUUCAGAGGGCAGAAAGAACGGAGAUAGAGAAUUCACCUGCCUAUGCAUUCAUGGACUCAUGCCCUUUGCUAAUGGGAGGGGUCCACCCACUUGGGUGAGGGUAGAAUAUUUUUCCCAACUGAAGCCUCUGAUUCAAAUGCCAGUACUCCCAGAAGAAUGCUCACAGACGUGCCCGGAACAGAUAGCAGCUGCCUGCGUAUCUCCUCCUCCAGCCAAGCCGACACGAAAAUGGCCACCACACUUGUCUUCUCGAGAGUUCUGCCCUUCUAACUGUACUGGAUUCCAGUUCACCGCGCGAAGAAAGCAGCAUCUUCUAAGAAAAGAAUGAUUAGUUUAAAAGUUUUCAAAUGGAGCAGAGAAUAAGGAAAAAGCAUUUCACCCACUUCUGGUUAUUUAAGUAGCAGUGAAAUGCUUAAUAAGCUUUACAGGUAUUCUGGAGUCCAAAGCCUGAUUUAUUUGGUGGAAUUUGAGAGCUAAUUCUCGUACAGCUAAUAACCUAAAGUGACAAAUUGCCUCGUAUGGAAGGAGAUGUCCAACGUGUCUAAUAGAAAGGGAGAGGAAAAGACUGAAUGCGCCAUACCUUAAGGAUGCUUGUCUUGCCCAGACACCUCUCCCGAAACUCCAUUAACUGUGAAGCAAGAUAAACAUCUACAUUUUGUUCAAGGCCCACAAGCAGAUUUCCUGUUGGUUUUCAUCUUUCAAAAUACAGGCAGUGUCUGCUUCCUGGAAAACCAAAGAAAAGCAAUUCCAAGAAGAUACAGUAUUUAAGAUUAUACCUUCAUCUACCACAGUGAAUACCUUUCUCUCUUUUAUCAAGAUACACCAUAAAUUCUAGAUUAUUACAAACUUAAGCCUGUAAUGUUUUUAAAGAAGUGUUAGGUGCAGGAGUACAUUGAGUCAUCACAGAAUGAGGAAUGAGAGCCAGCAGCUCCCACCUCAGUCUCAGUCUGCCAUUGUCUAACACCAGAACUACUUUACAACAAAAGCUGACUAGAGAUCAACUCGAUCAUUUGGAAAAUAUUCAUAGUUUAACCUGGGCCUACAAAGUGCACACGUUUUAAGUGCUUCUUAGAAGAGAAAGAUAGUAGUUCAGUAAAGUAGAGAAAUACUUCUUUUUCUUUUUCACUUAGGAGCUUCAAAUGAGGGAAAUCGUGUGCCUGUAACUGUUUGAGAACUACUGCUUUAACAAAAGUCCAAGGGAGUCCUGUCGUGUUUCAUUGUUACGGCAAUAGGACAGUGUCUGCAGAUGUUCUUCUGUUUCUUCUAGGUGUUUAUGAAAGUAGAAAGAGAGUACAGUUAGAACACAUUCAUUUUGCCUUGUUCAUGUUCGUUCAUUUAAUUUAAAAGUAUUGAAUUGUUGGGCUGAGGAUGGAGCUCAGUGGUAGAGCAUUCACCUGCCGUACAGGGCCCUGAAUUCAAUCUUUGGCACUGACAAAAAAAGCUUUUUUUGAGAAUCUGUUCUCAAUUAAUUCAGCUCUAAAAUAUUGUAGUCGUCUUUCACAGGGGGAAGCUUCUUUCCAUUAAGGUAACACUGCUUUAAGCGCAGGCUGCGUCACAGUUACAAAAUGAACAGGUCCCGCCAAACUGAUGAACAAGAUCAUUCAGAAAAUGGAAACCACGCCAUGUAGAGGAGAGGCAGCGGAAGAGGGUGAUCAGAGAGUGACUCCAUCAGCAGCGAUGCCUCCGGGACACCGUGGACAGGGCUCGGUGAGGAGGAGAUGUUUGUGUUGAGACCGGAAGAAGGACGCGGAGCCAUCCUGAGGAGCGAGGCGGGGUGAGGACCUGCCUGGAAGAGGGUGUGCCCGGGUGCUGUGAGUUAAGGACAGAGAAGGAGGCUGGGGUCAGCCUGGUGGGGUCCUCAGGCCCCUCUGAGAAGUUGGGAUGAUUCCAAAGGGCAGUGAGGAGCCCUGCAGGGAUUCUGGCUAAGACAGCACGAUGGCCGAGUACCUCGAGUUGUUAAAUAAUAUCCCAUGAAUCACUGUGCGAACCAUGGAGCGUAAAGCCAUAAGAAAAAAGCAGGACCCGCAUUGCUGAGAAAAUCUGCCUUCGCCAGGCCUCUUGCGGUUGUCAGCUCUGUCACUGAGCCUUAAGAGGGAAAUGGCCUCCCAGGUUACAUUUCCGCUCGCCGUGAGGAUGAGAGGCCCA